UACGGAGGGUUCAAGCGUUGUUCGGAAUUACUGGGCGUAAAGAGUUCGUAGGCGGAUAAGCAAGUAAGAGGUGAAAGCCCAGGGCUCAACCCUGGAACGGCCUUUUAAACUGCUUAUCUAGAGACCGGAAGAGGUUAGGGGAAUACCUAGUGUAGAGGUGAAAUUCGUAGAUAUUAGGUGGAACACCAGUGGCGAAGGCG
RNAcentral lists this ribosomal RNA (200 nucleotides) under uncultured bacterium. RNAcentral describes it as "partial 16S ribosomal RNA". It matches the Rfam family "Bacterial small subunit ribosomal RNA", at positions 524 to 723 of the family's 1533-position model. The record is from RNAcentral.